This 253-nucleotide ribosomal RNA is filed under the name uncultured bacterium. RNAcentral's name for it is "partial 16S ribosomal RNA". It matches the Rfam family "Bacterial small subunit ribosomal RNA", at positions 524 to 776 of the family's 1533-position model. The record is from RNAcentral.
UACGUAGGAUGCAAGCGUUGUCCGGAAUUAUUGGGCGUAAAGCGCGCGCAGGAGGUUUCUUAAGUCUGAUGUGAAAGCCCACGGCUCAACCGUGGAGGGUCAGUGGAAACUGGGGAACUUGAGUGCAGAAGAGGAAAGUGGAAUUCCAAGUGUAGCGGUGAAAUGCGUAGAUAUUUGGAGGAACACCAGUGGCGAAGGCGACUUUCAGGUCUGUAACUGACACUGAGGCGCGAAAGCGUGGGGAGCAAACAGG